GAUGAACGCUGGCGUCGUGCCUAAUACAUGCAAGUCGAGCGAACGGACGAGAAGCUUGCUCCUCUGAUGUUAGCGGCGGACGGGUGAGUAACACGUGGAUAACCUACCUAUAAGACUGGGAUAACUUCGGGAAACCGGAGCUAAUACCGGAUAAUAUUUUGAACCGCAUGGUUCAAAAGUGAAAGACGGUCUUUCUGUCACUUAUAGAUGGAUCCGCGCUUCAUUAGCUAGUUGGUAAGGUAACGGCUUACCAAGGCAACGAUGCAUAGCCGACCUGAGAGGGAGAUCCGCCACACUGGAACUGAGACACGGUCCGAACUCCUCCGGGAGGGAGCAGUAGGGAAUCUUCCGCGAUGAGCGAAAGCCUGACGGAGCAACGCCGCGUGAGUGAUGAAGGUCUUCGGAUCGUAAACCUCUGUUAUGCGGAAAGAACAUAUGUGUAAGUAACUGUGCACAUCUUGACGGUACCUAGUCAGAAAGCCACGGCUAACUACGUG
This 497-nucleotide ribosomal RNA is filed under the name uncultured bacterium. RNAcentral's name for it is "partial 16S ribosomal RNA". It matches the Rfam family "Bacterial small subunit ribosomal RNA", at positions 28 to 507 of the family's 1533-position model. The record is from RNAcentral.